CCCUCCUGGAGGGAUGAUGGUUAUAGCCGGCAGCAGAUCAAAUACCUGCCGCUGGUGGAUCCCAGGUUGGCAGCAUGGAGCCCCUGCCGCUCUGUACUCCUUUCCAGUAGAAAGUCAGGAGACUAGAAAUGGUCCUAGGGCAUCCUCGAGAGUGUUGGAGAAGAGUAUGAACUGGAAUCAUCUGGGGACUCCUCUCGCAGGAUGUUCCCAGUUGCGACUCCGAGCUCACCUGUUGGCCUCGCCACGCCCCCAUCGCGCCUUGGGGAGGGGCUUGGAGCGCGCCCCGCGCAGGGACUUCCGGGAGAUGUGGUCCCGCCGUCCGGCCUCGGCGCCUCCUUGCGCCCGGGCAUCGGCUGCUGGGCCUUCUGGGUCCGCCGCGCGGUUGGGCCUCGUUGGUUCCGUGAAACAGCGGCUCGUGAAGGCCCCGUGGCGGCCUGCAUGCCCAAGACUCCCAGGCCUGUGGAGGUAUAAGAGUGGAUCUGCAGAGAUUGGGUGUGAGGAUUUCUGGCAUGUGACCCAGUCCUCACUGCUCCUGGUUCCCUAUUCUGCCCUCUUUGGAAUCUUCUGGCCCUGA
This 574-nucleotide long non-coding RNA is filed under the name Camelus dromedarius (Arabian camel). RNAcentral's name for it is "lncRNA (ENSCDRG00005002054.1)". The record is from RNAcentral. Lineage: Eukaryota; Metazoa; Chordata; Mammalia; Artiodactyla; Camelidae.